CUCGACUCUUAGUUCCACCUAUCUUGCUUUCCUAUUGGCUAACAGUACUUUAUUUAUCAACCAAUAAGACAAACAUAUAUACAGAAGGACCUCCCCCAUAAAAAGAUUUUCAAUAAAAGGAAAGAAUGUUGCUGAGGCUUCAGCUGACACAGCAAUAUCAAAGCAUUCAAACAGAAGAAUGACAGCUGGAAAGGGACAAGCUUGGAAGAAAGUCCAAUUUAUAUCUCCCAUUAUAAAGAAGACUAUAUGUUGUCAAUGCUAAACCUGCAACAGGUAACUGAAAACAAGUUUAAAAGCCUUCAUCCAGCAGCGGAUGGAAGUAGAAGCAGACACCCACAGCUAAACAGUGAACUGAACUGGAAUCCAGUUGCAGAGAAGGAGUGAUGAGCAAAGGGGUCCAUACCAGGCUGGUGAAACCCACAGAAACAGCUGAUCUGAACAAUUAGGUGCUCUUGGUCCCCAGACUGAUCACUGGAAACCAGCAUGGAACUGAUCCAGACCCCAUGAACAUGGGUGUCCAUGAUGAGGCCUCAGAAAUCUAUGGGGCCUCUUGUAGUAGUUGGAUGCUGAGUUUAACUGACUUUCUUUGCAAAACUUCCAGGAGCUAGUUCCUUACAUAAGAAUCUCACAGAGCCUUCAUCCAGUAGCUGAUGGAAGCAGAGGCAAACACCCACAGCUAAUCAUUGAACUGAACUCUGGAAUCCAGUUGCAGAGAAGGAGGAAUGAUGGGCAAAAGGGUCAAGACCAGGCUGGAGAAACCCACAGAAACAGCUGACCUGAACAAGGGGGAGUUCAUAGACCCAAGACUGACAACUGGGAAAACAACAUAGGACUGUUCCAGGUCCCCUGAGUGAAGACAUCAGUUUGGAGGUCUGCUUAAUCUAUGGAGCCUCUUGUAGUAGAUCAGUACUUAUCCCUACCAUAGGAAUGGACUUUGGGAGCUCAUUUCACAUAGAGGGAUACUCCCUCAGCCUAGACACACGGGGGAGGGCCUAGGCCCUGCUCCAAAUGAUAUGACAGACUUUGAAGAUCCUCCAUGGAAAGGGUAUAGGAUAGGGGCUUGGUGGAGGACAGGGGAGGGAGAGAGAACUGGGAUUGGCAUGUAAAACAAGCUUGUUUCUAAGUUAAAUAAAAAA
This 1136-nucleotide long non-coding RNA is filed under the name Cricetulus griseus (Chinese hamster). Its description in RNAcentral is "lncRNA (ENSCGRG00015034805.1)". Lineage: Eukaryota; Metazoa; Chordata; Mammalia; Rodentia; Cricetidae. The record is from RNAcentral.